GAAAAAUAAUAUCCCAACCUGUGAAAGAUUAGAGGUCCAUUUUUGUCCAGCACAGCUGGAUUGACGAAGGAGCCUUGGGGGAAAAGGGGACCCUCUCCUCUCCUUUCCCAAGUCCGAGCAACUCUGGAAAUUUCCAGACUUUGAAACCCUUCCAGGGUUUCUGUGGUGGCUCUUGGGGGCUUUGGUGGGAGGGCUGGCCUCUGAGCUGCCUCCCCAGGGCUCCUUCGGUGCCUCUGCCCCAAGCCAGGCGGUCUGCACCCUCAGCCGUGGUCACGACUCUGUUCUCCACUUUCCGUAGCGACAGCUUGGCCCUCCCUCCUGCCCAGAGUUGAUUCUGCUGUCAGGCCAGUUUGCGGCUCCUUGCCCGGGAUGGUAAAUAUUUGGCCUGUCUCUGUUCUUUUGCACAAAAGCGCAGCCCUCCUGAUCUGUGACAAGCCUGUGGAAGAGUUGUCUCAGAAGCAAGAGAUCCAUUUGGGGUUCACGCAGGGGUUUUCUCUAAGCAGCUGAGCGUGAGGGCCGUGAAGGCAGAUUUGGGGUCCAGAUGUGCCCUAGUUGGAGUCCUAUCUGCCACUUGCCAGCUGGGUGGCCUUUGACGAGUAACUUCCCUGUGCCCAUUUCUUCCCUCGUAGAUGAGGGUUCUGAGAUGGCCCUUGUCACGCCGUGGUGAGGCUCGGAGCAAAAAUGCAGGCACGUGCCUGGCACACACCAGUGGACCUUCGACUGGUCCAUCCUCAUCAGCUCGUCUCACUUUUUUUUUUUGUUUUUUGCUUUUUAGGACUGUACCCUUGGCAUGUGGAGGUUCCCAGGCGAGGGGUCUAAUCAGAGCUACAGCUGCCAGCCACAGUCACAGCCACGCCAGAUCCGAGCCACCUCUGCAACCUACACAACAGCUCAUGGCCAUGCCAGAUCCUUAACCCACUGAGCGGGGCCAGGGAUCGAACCGGCGACCUCAUUGUUCCUAGUCGGAUUCGUUUCCGCUGCGCCACGCUGGGAACUCCGUCUCUCUUACUUUGAAUAAGGGCAUGGUCCUGGCCAAGUUACUUCACCCACUGGGAACAGCUACCUUGCAAUCCUAAAGCCGGGUCCGAGCCUGUGAGUCUUUUGUCCACCAGCCACAGGCCAGGCUGGGGUUACAACCACGGAUAAGACGGCCCUGGCCCCUCACUACCCACCCUGAUUUGUACCGCGGCUCUGAGAGCAGAAGAGGGGGAUUGUGGGUCUUCUUGUGGCUGAGGCUGCAGCUCCAUGGGGAAGGGUUCCCCCCAGAUCUCACAGCUGCCUUUGGUGCUGCCGUAGCAGGACACCCAGCCUUCUGGGUGCAGCAGGGCCUCCCCAGGUCGGAGGCAGCAAGUGUGAGCUGUAGAACAGGACAUGGAUGGGUCCUUAAAGGAACCCUGGCUGCCCAGAUGGGGCCACCUCACACCUCUGCUCUGCCAAGCAUGCAGCCCGAGAGGUCCCAAGACUGUUUCACGAAAGGGCCCCAGGAAACCCAGUGGGCCAGCCAGACACACUCUAGAGGGGCUGGUCAAGCAGGGUACAGAAUCCAAGGGCUGGGGGAGAAGGAAGGAAAUGCUUUGAUAUUCCAAAAAGUGCUGCAGAGUGAUCAUGAUGGGAAAUAAAAAUCAGAAUUUCGUUGGACUUCCUUAUACUUUUUUAUGGCUUGGUGACGUUUUCAUUUUGAAUUUCAAAACGGGAGCUUGUGAUGGAUCUUAAUCUCUUCCGUGCUUUAGAGCCCUGGGCAGUGGGCAGGGUUUCCAGGGAUGCAGAGCAGGUGACUUCUCACCCACUGCAGCACCCCCACCCUCCUCCCUCUGGCACAGUUUGGGGAAUUUUGCAAUUGCCCCAUAGCCAGACCCCUUGUGUUUGCUGCCCAGGAGGGCUGGGGAAGGAGGUGUUCUAUGGAAAGAGCCCUGGCCUGAUUUUAACCUCAGCUCUGCCACUGUGGGUCUGACAGCCCCCUUCUCCACCAAGUGGGGGGCUGGACCAACUGCAGUGCAUGCCCCUUGUAGCCUUAGCAUCCUUGGAAGAGUCUGAGCCCCGAGGCACAGAAGAGGGCACAGGGCGGGAGGGGUGGGGGAAGGAUUCAGGGAUAUGCAGCUGGGACAUUUGAAUCAAUCCGAGAAGACAUUGUGGUUCAUUCUCAAGAAACGCUGGAUUUCUGCCCUGGGGUGUGGGGUUCAAGGGAAAAUGCUGGCUUCCCCUGGGUGACUGAGGCUUAAAUUUUGCUCUUGCAUUUUCUUUUUUUUUCCGUGUCCACUGUAAGGUACUCCUCCCCUUCUGAAGACACGUCAGUUGCAUUGUGGCUUAUUUGCCGAUGGUAUCUGGUUUUCCAGGAGACUGAAGGCAGGCAUUGGAGAAAGGGUGUUCGCUUUGCAGGCUCUCCUGGGGACUUGUUGGGCGACAAGCUUUCCCCAUCUGUGAUGAUCUGUGCCCUCCCUAUGGUAUGCCACAGGGAUCCACGAGAAUGCCCGUGUGACACACUGGGCACAUGGUGGUGGGGUGAGGCUGUGCGUGGUAGUUGCUCUUAAGUAACAGCGUGGCUCACCCCAGGGCCUGUGGGGCCAGCCAAGUAACCCCAGUGAAGCCGGCCCUGAACUUGGCAAGCCUUCUUGCUGCCUCGAUUUGUGGGGAGAAAACAUGAAAAGAAAAGCAAGUCCUUGCUGUAUAUGGGGCGGGUUU
This 2679-nucleotide long non-coding RNA is filed under the name Sus scrofa (pig). RNAcentral's name for it is "lncRNA (ENSSSCG00015006501.1)". Lineage: Eukaryota; Metazoa; Chordata; Mammalia; Artiodactyla; Suidae. The record is from RNAcentral.